GCAGUUCAAGGAUGUCAGUAGGUUGUGCAGAUGGUUCUGGAGCUUGGCAGAGAGCUCCGGGCAUGGCCAAAGCUCUAGGAACGUCCGCCACCCGAAGGGCUGCUGCCUCUGUGGUGUGGUGAGGCUGAUCCCAGAAGGCAGACGGAGAGAAGUGGUGGGCCAAGGAGGAACCCUGCAGACCAGCACCAGUGAAGGCUCAGGCAGAGGAGAGAGAGCCCACGAGGAGACAGGGCCCUAGGGACCCUGGGAAGUCCAGCCAAGCACAUCUGUGUUGCAGUCCCUGGGAUGAGCACAUUCAUUGAAGGCCAGAGGGAUCCCUGCUGUCGGAACCACAGCAAGUUUGUGUCAUCCUGUUUCUGUCAGUGGAAAGAGAUCUGAAAGACCUCUGAUUCCUAAUGGAAUCAUCAGGGCAAGUGCACCAAGGGCAAGAUUUCAAGUGGCUUUUAGUUGCUAAGA
Molecule: long non-coding RNA, 456 nt
Filed under: Equus caballus (horse)
Lineage: Eukaryota; Metazoa; Chordata; Mammalia; Perissodactyla; Equidae
Description: lncRNA (ENSECAG00000059436.1)
Source: RNAcentral